This 320-nucleotide ribosomal RNA is filed under the name Apiospora aurea. Its description in RNAcentral is "eukaryotic LSU rRNA". It matches the Rfam family "Eukaryotic large subunit ribosomal RNA", at positions 331 to 670 of the family's 3401-position model. The record is from RNAcentral. Lineage: Eukaryota; Fungi; Ascomycota; Sordariomycetes; Amphisphaeriales; Apiosporaceae. RNAcentral also lists the same sequence under 1 other name.
AGACCGAUAGCGAACAAGUAGAGUGAUCGAAAGAUGAAAAGCACUUUGAAAAGAGGGUUAAAUAGCACGUGAAAUUGUUGAAAGGGAAGGAUUUAUGACCAGACUUUUUCUAGGGGGAUCAUCCGGUGUUCUCACCGGUGCACUUCCCCUAGUUGAGGCCAGCAUCGGUUUCUGUCGGGGGAUAAAAGCUUCAGGAAUGUGGCUCCCUUCGGGGAGUGUUAUAGCCUGUUGCAUAAUACCCUGACGGGGACCGAGGUUCGCGCAUUGCAAGGAUGCUGGCGUAAUGGUUAUUAAUCACCCGUCUUGAAACACGGACCAAG